AUUGAACGCUGGCGGCAUGCCUUACACAUGCAAGUCGAACGGCAGCACGGGGCAACCUGGUGGCGAGUGGCGAACGGGUGAGUAAUGCAUCGGAACGUGCCAUUGAGUGGGGGAUAACGUAGCGAAAGUUGCGCUAAUACCGCAUAUUCUGUGAGCAGGAAAGCAGGGGACCGUAAGGCCUUGCGCUCUUUGAGCGGCCGAUGUCAGAUUAGCUAGUUGGUGAGGUAACGGCUUACCAAGGCGACGAUCUGUAGCGGGUCUGAGAGGAUGAUCCGCCACACUGGAACUGAGACACGGUCCAGACUCCGUACGGGAGGCAGCAGGUGGGGUAAUUUUGGACAAUGGGCGCAAGCCUGAUCCAGCCAUGCCGCGUGAGUGAAGAAGGCCU
RNAcentral lists this ribosomal RNA (388 nucleotides) under uncultured bacterium. RNAcentral describes it as "bacterial SSU rRNA". It matches the Rfam family "Bacterial small subunit ribosomal RNA", at positions 30 to 417 of the family's 1533-position model. The record is from RNAcentral.